AACGAACGCUGGCGGCAGGCCUAACACAUGCAAGUCGAGCGCCCCGCAAGGGGAGCGGCGGACGGGUGAGUAACGCGUGGGAACGUACCCUUUGCUACGGAAUAGCCUCGGGAAACUGGGAGUAAUACCGUAUGUGCCCUUCGGGGGAAAGAUUUAUCGGCAAAGGAUCGGCCUGCGUUGGAUUAGGUAGUUGGUGGGGUAAUGGCCUACCAAGCCGACGAUCCAUAGCUGGUUUGAGAGGAUGAUCAGCCACACUGGGACUGAGACACGGCCCAGACUCCUACGGGAGGCAGCAGUGGGGAAUCUUAGACAAUGGGCGCAAGCCUGAUCUAGCCAUGCCGCGUGAGCGAUGAAGGCCUUAGGGUUGUAAAGCUCUUUCGGUGGGGAAGAUAAUGACUGUACCCACAGAAGAAGCCCCGGCUAACUCCGUGCCAGCAGCCGCGGAAAGUAGUCGUGU
This 457-nucleotide ribosomal RNA is filed under the name uncultured bacterium. RNAcentral describes it as "bacterial SSU rRNA". It matches the Rfam family "Bacterial small subunit ribosomal RNA", at positions 29 to 530 of the family's 1533-position model. The record is from RNAcentral.